AUGAUGGGGAACCUGUGGGGACACAGAUCCAGGUGUCCCCAUCUGUCUUGUGUCCCUUGGUGGACACCAGGGAUCCCCUGGGGACAUGGAUCCAGGUGUCCCCAUCACUGUGUGUCCCUUGGUGGACACCAGGGAUCCCUUGGGGACAUGGAUCCAGGUGUCCCCAUCCCUCUUGUGUCCCUCGGUGGACACCAGGGAUCCCUUGGGGACACAGAUCCGGGUGUCCCCAUCACUGUGUGUCCCUUGGUGGACACCAGGGAUCCCUUGGGGACAUGGAUCCAGGUGUUCCCAUCACCGUGUGUCCCUUGGUGGACACCAGGGAUCCCUUGGGGACAUGAAUCCAGGUGUCCCCAUCAGCAUGUGUCCCUUGGUGGACACCAGGGAUCCCUUGGGGACACGAAUCCGGGUGUCCCCAUCACCACAUGUCCCUCGGUGGACACCAGGGAUCCCCUGGGGACACGGAUCCAGGUGUCCCCAUUCCUCUUGUGUCCCUUGGUGGACACCAGGGAUCCCUUGGGGACACGGAUCCAGGUGUCCCCGUCACCGUGUGUCCCUCGGUGGACACCAGGGAUCCCUUGGGGACCUGGCUACAGGUGUCCCCAUCCCUCUUGUGUCCAUUGGUGGACACCAGGGAUCCCUUGGGGACAUGGAUCCAGGUGUCCCCAUCACUGUGUGUCCCUCGGGGGACACCAGGGAUCCCUUGGGGACACAGAUCCGGGUGUCCCCAUCCCUCUUGUGUCCCUUGGUGGACACCAGGGAUCCCUUGGGGACACAAAUCUGGGUGUCCCCAUCCCUCUUGUGUCCCUUGGGGGAAACCAGGGAUCCCUUGGGGACAUGAAUCCAGGUGUCCCCAUCACCAUGUUUCCCUUGGUGGACACCAGGGAUCCCUUGGGGACACAGAUCCGGGUGUCCCCAUCACCAUGUGUCCCUUGGUGGACACCAGGGAUCCCUUGGGGACACAGAUCCGGGUGUCCCCAUCAGCAUGUGUCCCUCGGGGGACACCAGAGAUCCCUUGGGGACACGAAUCUGGGUGUCCCCAUCACCGUGUGUCCCUUGGUGGACACCAGGGAUCCCUUAGGGACACGGAUCCAGGUGUCCCAACACCCUAUGUCCCUUUGGGGACAGAUGGGGACAUGGAUCCAGGUGUCCCCGUCACUGCGUGUCCCUCGGGGGACACCAGGUCAACCCCCGCUGUCCCCCAUCCCUGUUUCCAACCCCCCCUUCCCCCCCCCUUGCCCUGGCGAUGCCACCACCGUGUCCCCACCGUCCCCUCC
Molecule: long non-coding RNA, 1274 nt
Filed under: Apteryx haastii (Great spotted kiwi)
Lineage: Eukaryota; Metazoa; Chordata; Aves; Apterygiformes; Apterygidae
Description: lncRNA (ENSAHAG00000011438.1)
Source: RNAcentral